GCGGAAGAUCAAGUCAGCGGUAAAAUUGAGAGGCUCAACCUCUUCGAGCCGUUGAAACUGGUUUUCUUGAGUGAGCGAGAAGUAUGCGGAAUGCGUGGUGUAGCGGUGAAAUGCAUAGAUAUCACGCAGAACUCCGAUUGCGAAGGCAGCAUACCGGCGCUCAACUGACGCUCAUGCACGAAAGUGUGGGUAUCGAACAGGAUUAGAUACCCUGGUAGUCCACACAGUAAACGAUGAAUACUAAUUGUUCGGGGAGAAUGAUCCCUGAGUGAUACAGCGAAAGCGUUAAGUAUUCCACCUGGGGAGUACGCCGGCAACGGUGAAACUCAAAGGAAUUGACGGGGGCCCGCACAAGCGGAGGAACAUGUGGUUUAAUUCGAUGAUACACGAGGAACCUUACCCGGGCUCAAACGACACAGGAAUACUUUUGAAAGGAGGUAGCUCUACGGAGUCUGUGUCGAGGUGCUGCAUGGUUGUCGUCAGCUCGUGCCGUGAGGUGUCGGCUUAAGUGCCAUAACGAGCGCAACCCCCAUCGCCAGUUACCAGCAAGUCAAGUUGGGGACUCUGGCGAGACUGCCGGCGCAAGCUGUGAGGAAGGCGGGGAUGACGUCAAAUCAGCACGGCCCUUACGUCCGGGGCGACACACGUGUUACAAUGGCAGGUACAGAGAGAAGCAAUGCGGCGACGCAAAGCGGAACUUGAAAGCCUGUCUCAGUUCGGAUUGGAGUCUGCAACUCGACUCCAUGAAGCUGGAUUCGCUAGUAAUCGCGCAUCAGCCAUGGCGCGGUGAAUACGUUCCCGGGCCUUGUACACACCGCCCGUCAAGCCAUGGAAGCCGGGAGUGCCUGAAGUGUGCAACCGCAAGGAGCGCCCUAAGGUAAAACUGGUGACUGGGGCUAAGUCGUAACAAGGUAACCGUAA
This 921-nucleotide ribosomal RNA is filed under the name uncultured bacterium. RNAcentral's name for it is "bacterial SSU rRNA". It matches the Rfam family "Bacterial small subunit ribosomal RNA", at positions 575 to 1505 of the family's 1533-position model. The record is from RNAcentral.